UUGGGAGAAGCUAGCACAGGCAGAAAAGGAAAGUAAUCCAACAGGCAGGUGGCGUUCACCCCAUUGCCCUGGAUUUCUGUACAGUUGGCAUGGCUGGGCUUGGUGUAGGAAGCCAGAAGCCCAUCUCUCCAAGCUCUGGGAAGCAUUUGACACGCUGUAUGGAGUGAAGGUUCUAGGAACAAAGCCAUCAGUGGGAAAGGGCCCACAAGAGAAAAAAGAUGGGAGAGAGCUGGCCGAGAGAUAUCAAAGCUAUCAGAGUCCUUCCUUAUCGCUUGGAUAUUUGAAGAAUGUGAGGUACCACUUCUUGCUGCAAACAAGGAAUUCAAGUACACACUGAAUGUACAUGUGGAUGCUUGCAUAGGUUGAUUAGUGAUGGGCCAGAGAGGCAAUGAAAGGAGUCAGAAGAUAGAGGAGAAGAUAAGUUGGCAUUUGGUUUAUCCAGGGAAGAGAAAAUUAUAAGAGAAAAAUGAAUAGAAGUAGGGCUAGGAAAGUAAAAAAGAUGAGCCUGGAGGAUUUUACAUUAUUUAAGUAGGAAGUAGAGAAAAUCCUUGAGAAUGGCUUAGGCCUAAAAAGCUAAGAAAUAAACUGGUCAUUGGGUUUUAGAUAUGAAUUUCUCUAAAAUGUAAACUGAGUGUAGUAUUUUUCAGGAAGUUGGGCUUUCUCACACCAUGCUGUUUGUCCUUUUGUAUAUCAAUGUAUUAUUCACCCAUCACUGCUGCUGUGGAAGUUCUAAGAUGUGGAGAACAAUAGAGUGAUCAAAGCCUUAGCAACAUCUAGGAACCAAGAGAGUAGGCAUUUCUCCCAGAGGUGUUAGUGCCAUUUGUCAUAUCACCAAAUGCAUAUCUGCUGUGAUUCUGGACCAUUCUCCUGCCUUGGCGAGUGGAGUGGUCACCACUGUGUUGAAGAUAUAGUCAUCAAAAGGCAGCUGAAUUGUGCCUUCUUUCAUGUACACCCCUCUGGGCUACUCUGUUCUCAGUCAGAGGGGAGAAAAAGCAUAUCUGAUUUCCAAUAGUAGAAGGAGAUUUAGAAUCUGGGAAGAGAGCAAAUAACCAGCAGCUUGGAAUGCCUGGGAUUACUUUACAUGUUAGUCUCAACCGAUGGACUGUGUGUAGAAAGCUGUCAAGAAUGAAUAUCUUACAGAAUGAAAGCUAAGAGAGUCUAGCUGGUGGAGACAACUGAAAUCCUCUGAAUCGCAGAAGAGAAUCCAGACUUUCUUCCUAAGCUGGAUCAAGCUGGACUGUAUACUUACAAUGUAUACACGUAACUUCCAGACUUACAUGUUGUCAGUAUUCCUGUGAUACUCACACUGUCUGUAGCUGGUCUAAUAGCUCGUGAUUGAGAAGAUAUAAAUAAAGGUAUUAAAAGAAUUUCCAAUGCCCAGUUUAAGGAGUAAACAGAGAACAUCACACACUUUGGUCUGCAGAUAACUUUGUAUUUCAUUCCACCUCCCAGUUGAAUAAUAAUCUGCUUGGGGUUAAGAAUCACGACAACUGAACCAUACUUAGAAAAUUAUAAUCUGAGUCUGAUCUGAGACUAAAAACACUUUUGUUCAAACUCAGCACUUUGUUAUUUAAUUGCAGCAUGCUCUGCAAAUAUACUUAACCUUAAUCUAUAAAAUGUAAAAUUAACACAUUUCAGAGUUGUUCAGGCAAAGCAUGAUGGCAUCUGAGAACACUUUUGUAACUGUUGACUUACGUUUACUCUGCUUUAUGUAUAGAAACUUUAAAAAUUAGUAAGAGUAACUUAACUGUUUGCUUUGUGCUAGGCACUGCACUAAAGAUUUCCUUUACAUCCUCUACUCCUUGGAGUAUCAUUUUGAAGUAGAUAUUUUUUGUCACCAUUUGACAGAUGAGUAAAUUAAGGCUUAAAAAGAUUAAUGAAGGAACCCAAGGCAAUGUAACUACUGCAUGACUUAAAUUUCCAUCUGUCUCUUUAAAGCUUGGACCACCUUGGUCUUUGAACUCUGGCAUCAUAGGGAUGGCUGGUUGGCAUUCUUUAGGACCUCUGGUUAGAUUUAUAAUAAUCUGAGGGAAGAGCAGAAGUGUCAGGUGAGCAGAUCUUUGCUUCUGCAAAAGUCAGAGGCCAAUAUCUUUGGAGACAAAGGGCUUUCAUAGGGGGGUUUAGUUAACUUUGAAUUUCAGAUAAAUAAUACCUUUUUUUUUUUUACUAUAUCUCAUGCAAUAUUUGGAAUAUAUUUAUAAGAAUUAUUUAUUAUAUUUUUAUUUGUUAAAUCUGGCAAUGCCAAUAUAGGAAAGCAUCAGCCCCAGAAUGAGUUAGAAUUUUCCAGAACCCCUCUCAGGGCUUGGCUGGAAUCUGAGCAGUGAUUCUGGAAGUAGGAGAGAUGAAGGUCAGUGAGGCACAGUGACAAAGGUCAGUCGGACAAGCCCGCACUGGGAUUCAGGACAUCCAUAUUCCAAGCUUCGCCACACCCUGUCUGGAUGGGCUACCAUCUUCCCCUGCCUGGGCUUUAGAGCAGAAUUGGUCAGAGUCAUUGCAGCAUAAAUGGGUGUCAUCUUCACGAACCAAAGGUUUGGGCAGAGAAGUGGCCAUGAAACAGGGUAAUGUCUUAACUUACAACUAUCUAUAAGAGCAGGGGAUGUGAAGAUAAUUUACAUGUAAAAACUGAAAACCAAUUCAUCCAGAGCUAAUUUCAGCUCAGACCAGCAGGAAAAUUGCUGUUCAAAUUGAUAUUUCUAUUGCCAGGUUUAUUGACAAACAUGAAAUAAAAAGGCCUCUUUGUAUCACGAAUUUGUUAUAUGCUUAAAAAAAUAGAAAAGGGGGUUUAUAUUCCCCAGUUGGUGGCAUACUGAAUUUUGACAGACUUUUUUUUUUAUAAGUGUGAAAAUGCUGAUGGUUGUUGAGCUGGGAUACAGCCCCAUUCCAUGAAGAGCAACAUGACUCUGGGUCUUUGGAUAGAAACUUUCAUCAGUGCACGCUUCGGUGAAUUCUCCCUCCUCCCAGGAGGCCUGUCCUCAUUUCAAAGCUGGGGAAAGCAGGAGCCAGAUAAGGGAAGUAAGUGACUUUCCCAAGGUCACAGACGGACAAACGUGCUAGCUGCUGGGCAGAGCAGAGCUCAAAUCCUCUGUAGCUGGGCCUAGACCGUCAUCCCCUACCAUCCCCCAGACCUCUCCUGCAACGUAUCCAGGGAAGCCCAAGAUGCCUAGACCACCCCCUCAAAACAGUGGGAACUUUCCACCUCUCCUCAUCAGUUUACAACCACCUUAUGGCUUGAAAGCCUGCUCCUCCUCUCCGUGGCUCUGUUGUCUCCCAGCCCUUUCUCACCGGUGUUUGCAAUCCUCAGCUUCACUCAGUCUGAAAUAUGUAGGGAUCAUAACUUGUGGGUUCGUACAAGAAGCCAGCAGCCCUUCCAUAAUUGCCACUGACGUGGAAAUACAGGAGCAAAUGAGUAGCAAUUCAUGUGUCGCCGCAUGACAGAACAAAAACCUCUACCGAGGAAUUAAAGCCAUAAAUAUCCUGCAGGGCUCCUACCUGUGAGCUUGUUCCUGACAUCUGGAAUGGCAGCUCACUGGAGCCACUCUGCUGUCAGCAUCCUGCUGCACGCUGGCUGCAAUGAAGCUGUGAGAGCAGAAGGGACAAGAAGGGGAAGUCUGGGGAGUCAGGCCUGGGGUGGGGGGACUUCCAAGGGAAACCUGGUGACAGACAGGUUACUUUCCCUUAUCAUGACCACAGCAACUAAGAGGCCCAGACUCACUCACUCCCACUUGGAGCCUCCCCGAAACCCUGCCUGCCACCAGACUUCCUGUCCUUGCAAGACGCAUAACAGCUCUGUGGCUGAUCUCCCAUCUGGUUGACAGGAAUGACAGCUCAGAGCUGUGUUCCUGGAGGGGAAAGUGCUGUGGGCAGAGAAGAGGAAAGAAACUGCACCUUCGGGUUGCCCACACGGUCGUGGCAGCCUCUAACAGGCUGCAGAGAUGAGGGAAGCAGGCAAGAAGCUCAGAAGAAAGCCAAUUGAUGACCCCUAGAAGGAACCAGCAUGAGGUUGCCUUCUAAUGGACAUGUCUCAUCAUUUCACUGAAGAUUUAUGGAAUGCUUCCCCCUUUAAAAGUGUUAAGUACUUGCUGUCAGCAUCACCAUCGCAGCCUGCGAAGUCGCCACUAAAGAGAGAGAAGUGGAAA
Callithrix jacchus (white-tufted-ear marmoset) is the source of this 4136-nucleotide long non-coding RNA. RefSeq lists it as uncharacterized. NCBI's taxonomy places the organism in Eukaryota, Metazoa, Chordata, Mammalia, Primates, Cebidae. The record is from RefSeq and is a predicted model, not a curated record.